UUACGGGAGGCGACAGUAGGGAAUCUUCGGCAAUGGACGGAAGUCUGACCGAGCAACGCCGCGUUAGUGAAGAAGGUCUUCGGAUCGUAAAGCUCUGUUGCCAGGGAAGAAGGGCAAGGAGAGUAACUGCUCUUUGCUUGACGGUACCUGAGAAGAAAGCCCCGGCCUAACUACGUGCCAGCAGCCGCGGUAA
This 193-nucleotide ribosomal RNA is filed under the name uncultured bacterium. Its description in RNAcentral is "partial 16S ribosomal RNA". It matches the Rfam family "Bacterial small subunit ribosomal RNA", at positions 339 to 523 of the family's 1533-position model. The record is from RNAcentral.